AGAGAAAGUCAAGACUGACGGAUCGCCAAGUGAAGGGAUCUGGGGUAGGAGUGUGAGCAGAGCGAAAAGAGCACCCCUCAACCGUCCCGUUUCCAUCUCGAAAUACUUGACUAGAUCUGUAGAAAGCGUGAGAUAUUCCUCGAGAGGAAGCCUCUCCGCUGUCCGACCCAUGCUAUAGCUACGUGAUAAAUAGCGGACCAGACAAAGAACAUGGCGAGAGACGGGAUCACCAUCGGGAUCAAAAACAUCAACAAAUCCUCCGAUGACUAUCAUUAUUGAAACACGAAAAGAGCACGAAAGAGUCGAUGCCGAAGAGUCGCUGAACAAGAAGUCAAUGACUCCGUUGCAACUCGGAGUAGCGGAAAGUUGAUCCGAGCGCAGUACAGCAGGGGUCAUAUAGUUUACCCUUCACUUUUCAUUCUUCACGGUCAAGGCAACUUGGCGUAGCUGAUUGUGCACAGACCCAGGGGACCCCAGCCCACGUCAGCUCCAUCGCAGUUCGUAUUCCAGCUUCUGGUCCGUAGCAUGUAUCGCUAAACUGGCUAGGUAUGCUAACAUCGCCCUUGAGUAUUAUUAAUAACUUUUUUAAAGUAUUGUGUUAUUAGUUUUAAUGUUAAAAUCUUGGAGUCUCAGUUUGAGAAAAUCUCCCCGGAGGUAUAAGUCGAGCAUACGUCAGAGCCAAAGACAGUGAGUGAGUGAGUGAGUUUAGAACUAUAAAGGCCAGCCCACACCAAGAACUAUAACUAUAACGGUGACAAUAAACACACACUUUUAAAAAUGGUUCAAACUCAAGUGAUGAUGAUAUCUUUGGGAUCACUUUCAGAGCAACUUUUUCCAGCCAAUCAAAAUCCGUCCGAAAUUACAGAGCAUCUCGUUCAGAAUGUCAGUAGACCGAGCCGAGAGGCUAUUUACAGAGCUUUAUCGCUCAUCAGUGUGGAUGCUCACAUCGUUGUUGUUAUAGUUUUAGAUCUUGGUGUGGACGGGCCUUAAACGCUGAUACAGGGAAAUGGAAGUACAAGACUGCUUCUGCUUUUUCAAAGCAAGCAACAAAUGUGUGUUAAAAUCCGUUUUAACCAUAUAGGAUUAAAUUAGUUUGGAAAUGUGGCUUGUAUGACGAUGUACAUUUAUGUUCAUGACCGUGCCUUCACCAUUACUGGAGAAGAUGGAUUUCCUGGAGCCAAAUAAAAUGUCAACCUGUGGCAAACCUGUCUGAAAUAUGGUCAGGGCGGCUUUUGUGUAAAAUGGCUGCUUCACCUCUUUCUGCAGCUGAAGAGGAAGAGAAAGAUGAGGCUGGGGGGUACACCAGACCCCCCCCCCCCCCAAGGCCUGUCCCACUGUGAGCUCUAGACCUAUAGAGGUAUAUUUUAAGCACCAGUUCUCAACACUUUGACAUUUAGUUUUAAAUGACGACUGCACUGCAGAGUGGUUAAAAACAGGCCACUUCCUGUGUGAAGGGAAGUUCAUUGUGCCGGCACAGACUCCAGCGUUACUGUACACUGGACCCCCCCUGUAAUCGACCCAUUACCCAGACAGAGCAGCCCGAGACCAGCCUGUUACCCAGAGAGAGCAGCUCCAGACCAGCCCGUUACCCAGAGAGAGCAGCUCCAGACCAGCCCGUUACCCAGAGAGAGCAGCUCCAGACCAGCCCGUUACCCAGAGAGAGCAGCCCCAGACCAGCCCGUUACCCAGAGAGAGCAGCUCCAGACCAGCCCGUUACCCAGAGAGAGCAGCUCCAGACCAGCCCGUUACCCAGAGAGAGCAGCUCCAGACCAGCCCGUUACCCAGAGAGAGCAGCUCCAGACCAGCCCGUUACCCAGAGAGAGCAGCUCCAGACCAGCCCGUUACCCAGAGAGAGCAGCUCCAGACCAGCCCGUUACCCAGAGAGAGCAGCUCCAGACCAGCCCGUUACCCAGAGAGAGCAGCUCCAGACCAGCCCGUUACCCAGAGAGCUGCUCCGCGCUCCAGCCGUCCAGGCUCCAGACCAGCCCGUCUGGGGAGAGAUCGCGACAGACUGACGGAGCCGCUAGCAGGAAGUACCCGUUUAUACUCCCGCUGAGCGAGCGAGGAUCACCCUUCCGAUGGUUGUUUGGUUUCCUCCUGGGGAGGGGCUGCAGCUCAAACGCCCGACUGCAGCACACAGGCCUGAGUCUCUCUGAUGCCGGGCCCCAGGUCUUUGGAGCGAUGCUAAAAUAUCUCCCCCAUGGCCAACGGUGUCCUGCACAAUGCUAACUCUAAUGCUAACAGACAGAGCCGUGCAUGUUCUGCUAAACUAGCGUCAUGGUAACAGUCCACAUUAGACUGAAGUGCUGACGCUCUAAUUUUACUGAAACGCAUGUUCUUCAGAAACACCAGGGGAAGCAGAAACAUUUAUCAGACGCAUACCCAACCAUAGCAGCCAAAGUAUAUCACAAUUUGCAUCAUAUCUAUGCAAGCUGAUUAUUGUUGUUCUUACAUAAGUGUAUAUCAUUCUUUCACGUUGUGUUGUAUAACAACGGUUUCAUAGAUGUAAUCCUUUAUCAGAUUAAUCUACAAGGCCCAAGUCCUUAUCUUUGUUGUAUUCUUAGCACUUGAAACUGUACUUCCCUCUUGGGUCUUUCAGCGUACUUGUCCCUGGUUAUGGGUUAUGCACUUUGCACUUGUACAGCGCUCUGGAUGAGAGCAUCUGCCAAAAGCCCAUAAUGUAAUGUAAUGUAAAAUCUAUUUAACGUAACGAGCCGUAGUUAAAAAGCUACUCUGCAAAGUUUGUCAAGGAAAGAUUGCGUGGUGGAAAAAUGCCAGCCUAUCUGAAUGCUAAUAAGGUGCGAUUAGCACCAGGAAGGUUCUGAGUGCGUCCGUGCCUCUUUCCUCUCCUGCAGAGCUGUUUCUAGGCAGCAGCGGCUGUUUGGCUUGGGCUGCAGGUGUGGUGGAAAGUGUGUGUUGUUGGGGUGAGCGGGAGUGUGGGAGGGGGGAGGGAUGUGUUUGGCUCCCUGGGGGCCAGGUCACACAGAAACCCCCCCCCCCCACGUCACUGUUUCUCAGGAGCGUCUCCAGGCAGUCCUGUGGUGGGGGGAGAGGAGGAGGAGGAGGAGGAGGAGUCGACCGCAGCAGAGGGCAUCCAUGCACACAUAGAGGUCAGUACUCCUAGUCUUAGAGUAGUGGUGGGUUCACUACAACAGGGAGGUGGCAGGAAGAUGGCUGAUAUAGAAACCAGUGAGAUAAUGAGGUAAGAGAAGGAUGAAACUCAUCAAGACCUUGCCACCCUCCCCAACAAACACACACGCAUGCACGCACGCACGCACGCACCCACGCACUCACACGCACACACACACACACAAACAGACACGCACACACACACACAAACAGACACACGCACACACAAACAGACACGUGCACACACGCACACACAGACAUGCACGCAUGCACACACAAACAGACACACGCAUGUACACACAGACAUGCACGCAUGCACACACACGCACACAGGGUCACCUCUGUGAGAAUGGAAGUUCAUAAGCAGGUAAGUCAAAGACUGAAUUGGUGACCAGGGUUUGUAGGGGGAGACUGUCGUCACAUAUUCUGUAGUAAUAAGGCCUGGAAAAAUGUCACAAAAUGUGAUAAUUGUGAGAUGUUUACAAAUCUCUUAACCUAUUAUAUGAGGGAGGGGUUCAGUCUCAUUUUUUGGCCAGCUCAUUUUUUUACAUGAAAAUAAUUUGCAAUAAACAAUAUAAGUUAGUACUUACUGUAUACACAUGACAAUGGCUUACACACAAAGUAUAAAGAAUAUAUGUAAAUAUAAUUACUAUUUAAUA
This is a long non-coding RNA of Conger conger (European conger), 3788 nucleotides long. RefSeq lists it as uncharacterized. NCBI's taxonomy places the organism in Eukaryota, Metazoa, Chordata, Actinopteri, Anguilliformes, Congridae. The record is from RefSeq and is a predicted model, not a curated record. The transcript has 3 exons.